AUGUGGGAGGAAUGCUUGCCUCAUAUUGAAUUUGCUUAUAAUCGUUCAUUGCAUUCUACUACUAAGAUGUGCCCUUUUGAAGUUGUGUAUGGUUUCCUACCUCGUGCACCUAUUGAUUUGUUGCCUCUUCCAUCUUCGGAGAAGGUUAAUUUUGAUGCUAAACAACGUGCUGAAUUGAUUUUAAAAAUGCAUGAGUUAACUAAGGAAAACAUUGAGCGUAUGAAUGCUAAAUAUAAACUAGCUGGAGAUAAGGGUAGAAAACAUGUUGUGUUUGCACCUGGAGAUCUUGUUUGGUUACAUUUGCGUAAGGAUAGAUUUCCUGAUUUGCGCAAAUCAAAGUUAAUGCCACGUGCUGAUGGUCCCUUUAAGGUGUUAGAGAAAAUAAAUGAUAAUGCAUAUAAACUUGAGCUGCCUGCAGAUUUUGGGGUUAGUCCCACUUUUAACAUUGCAGAUUUGAAGCCUUAUUUGGGUGAGGAAGAUGAACUUCCGUCGAGGACGACUUCAUUUCAAGAAGGGGAGGAUGAUGAGGACAUCAAUACAAUUGUUACACCCACAGCCCCUGCUGCUAUACAUACUGGACCAAUUACUAGAGCUCGUGCGCGCCAACUAAAUUACCAGGAAACAGACCCUCGUGGUCAGGUUGAUCGUGCUCCGGCGUGGUCAAUAACCUCUCGGAGUUGGUUUAGCGAUUGCUAA
RNAcentral lists this ribosomal RNA (696 nucleotides) under Triticum aestivum (bread wheat). RNAcentral describes it as "partial small subunit ribosomal RNA". Lineage: Eukaryota; Viridiplantae; Streptophyta; Magnoliopsida; Poales; Poaceae. The record is from RNAcentral.